GGUUUGAUAUUCUACAAUGCUAGCUGAUAUAAAGAGGUUUGAUAUUCUACAAUGCUGGUUGAUAUAAAGAGGUUUGAUAUUCUACAAUGCUGGUUGAUAUAAAGAGGUUUGAUAUUCUACAAUGCUGGUUGAUAUAAAGAGGUUUGAUAUUCUACAAUGCUAGCUGAUAUAAAGAGGUUUGAUAUUCUACAAUGCUGGUUGAUAUAAAGAGGUUUGAUAUUCUACAAUGCUGGUUGAUAUAAAGAGGUUUGAUAUUCUACAAUGCUGGUUGAUAUAAAGAGGUUUGAUAUUCUACAAUGCUGGUUGAUAUAAAGAGGUUUGAUAUUCUACAAUGCUGGUUGAUAUAAAGAGGUUUGAUAUUCUACAAUGCUGGUUGAUAUAAAGAGGUUUGAUACCCUACAAUGCUGGUUGAUAUAAAGAGGUUUGAUAUUCUACAAUGCUAGUUGAUAUAGAGGUUUGAUAUUCUACAAUGCUAGUUGAUAUAAAGAGGUUUGAUAUUCUACAAUGCUAGUUGAUAUAAAGAGGUUUGAUAUUCUACAAUGCUAGUUGUUACACUGUGCGAAUGAGGUGGUGUAUAGCACAUGUACCGUGAUCUCUCAGCAUUGCCUUGUGAAUUAUUGAUUGUGAAAUUCGGCUAGUGCCUUCAUCAGUGUAAUGCAAUUUGUGAAGAAACUUGGUUAGGGCAUUCUUGAACUCCAGCUGCUGUGGUAAAGAAUGUCACAGCUGCGUGUGUUGUUGGAGGCGGAGGAGGGGAGGGGCUAGGUUGGGCUUAGUUUUUUUUUUUUUUUUAUAUA
Molecule: long non-coding RNA, 794 nt
Organism: Polyodon spathula (Mississippi paddlefish)
Lineage: Eukaryota; Metazoa; Chordata; Actinopteri; Acipenseriformes; Polyodontidae
Exons: 2
Source: RefSeq, a predicted model, not a curated record